GAUGAACGCUGGCGGCGUGCUUAACACAUGCAAGUCGAACGGUGAAGCAGGAGCUUGCUCUUGUGGAUCAGUGGCGAACGGGUGAGUAACACGUGAGCAACCUGCCCCUGACUCUGGGAUAAGCGCUGGAAACGGCGUCUAAUACUGGAUAUGUGAUGUGACCGCAUGGUCUGCAUCUGGAAAGAAUUUCGGUUGGGGAUGGGCUCGCGGCCUAUCAGCCUGUUGGUGAGGUAAUGGCUCACCAAGGCGUCGACGGGUAGCCGGCCUGAGAGGGUGACCGGCCACACUGGGACUGAGACACGGCCCAGACUCCUACGGGAGGCAGCAGUGGGGAAUAUUGCACAAUGGGCGGAAGCCUGAUGCAGCAACGCCGCGUGAGGGAUGACGGCCUUCGGGUUGUAAACCUCUUUUAGCAGGGAAGAGGCGAAAGUGACGGUACCUGCAGAAAAAGCACCGGCUAACUACGUGCCAGCCGCCGCGGUAA
RNAcentral lists this ribosomal RNA (484 nucleotides) under uncultured bacterium. RNAcentral's name for it is "partial 16S ribosomal RNA". It matches the Rfam family "Bacterial small subunit ribosomal RNA", at positions 28 to 523 of the family's 1533-position model. The record is from RNAcentral.